GCGUAACACAUUGGUAAUCUACCCCCCAGUCGGGCACAACCACGCGAAAGCGUGGCUAAUUCCACGAUGGGCAUGCGGGGACUUAUGUCAUUCGCAUGUAAAGCGCAAAACGCGCUGGGGGAGGAGCCUAUGGCCCAUCAGCUAGUUGGCGGGGUAAUGGCCCACCAAAGCGACGACGGGUAUGGGGUGUGAGAGCAUGACCCCACUCACUGGGACUGAGACACUGCCCAGACACCUACGGGUGGCUGCAGUUAAGAAUAUUCCCCAAUGGCCGAAAGGCUGAGGGAGCGACGCCGCGUGCGGGAUGAAGGGCUUCGGCUCGUAAACCGCUUUUAUUUGGGACGAAUUCUGACCGGUACCAAAUGAAUAAAGAGGUUGCUAACUCUGUGCCAGCAGCAGCGGUAAUACAGAGACCUCAAACGUUGUCCGGAUUUAUUGGGCGUUAAGGGUCCGCAGGUGGCCCUGCGCGUCGGGAGUCAAAAUGUCGGGGCUCAACUCCGACACCGCUCUCGAUACGGCAGGGCUAGAGGCCGGAAGAGGCACACGGAAUUGCCGGUGUAGUAGUAAUAUGCGUUAAUAUCGGCAAGAACACCAAAAGCGAAGGCAGUGUGCUAGGACGGUUCUGACACUCAGGGACGAAAGCGUGGGGAGCGAAAGGGAUUAGAUACCCCUGUAGUCCACGCCCUAAACGAUGGAUGCUAGAUGCUGGGAGUAUCGACCCUCCCGGUGUCGCUUAAAAAAGCUAACGCAUUAAGCAUCCCGCCUGGGGAGUACGGCCGCAAGGCUAAAACUCAAAGGAAUAGACGGGGACCCGCACAAGCGGAGGAGCAUGUGGUUUAAUUCGAUGGUAAGCGAAGAACCUUACCUGGGCUCGAAAUGCAGCUGCAAGCCGGCGGAAACGUCGCCGCCUUCGAGGGUGCUGCAUAGGUGCUGCAUGGUUGCCGUCAGCUCGUGUCGUGAGAUGUACCGUUAAGUCGGAUAACGAGCGCAACCCCUGUCCCAUGUUGCAUUUUCAUGGGAGACCGCCUCGGAUAACGGGGAGGAAGGUGGGGACGACGUCAAAUCAGCAUGGCUCUUACGUCCAGGGCUACACACGUGCUACAAUGGCGUUGACAAUGGGCUGCCAAACCGCAAGGUGGAGCUAAUCCCAUCAAACAACGCCCCAGUUCGGAUUGGGGGCU
This 1181-nucleotide ribosomal RNA is filed under the name uncultured bacterium. RNAcentral's name for it is "bacterial SSU rRNA". It matches the Rfam family "Bacterial small subunit ribosomal RNA", at positions 108 to 1306 of the family's 1533-position model. The record is from RNAcentral.